CCUACGGGUGGCAGCAGUGGGGAAUAUUGCGCAAUGGGCGAAAGCCUGACGCAGCGACGCCGCGUGAGGGAUGAAGGUCUUCGGAUCGUAAACCUCUGUCAGCAGGGAAGAACGGUCACUGUGCUAAUCAGCAGUGAAUUGACGGUACCUGCAAAGGAAGCACCGGCUAACUCCGUGCCAGCAGCCGCGGUAAUACGGAGGGUGCGAGCGUUAAUCGGAAUUACUGGGCGUAAGGGGUGCGUAGGCUGUGAGGUAAGUCAGCGGUGAAAUGCCCCCGCUCAACGGGGUGAAGUGCCAUUGAUACUGCCUUGCUGGAAUGCGGAUGCGGUGGGAGGAAUGUGUGGUGUAGCGGUGAAACGCAUAGAUAUCACACAGAACACCGAUUGCGAAGGCAUCUCACGAAUCCGCGAUUGACGCUGAUGCACGAAAGCGUGGGUAUCAAACAGGAUUAGAUACCCGGGUAGUC
Molecule: ribosomal RNA, 466 nt
Filed under: uncultured bacterium
Lineage: Bacteria
Description: partial 16S ribosomal RNA
Rfam family: Bacterial small subunit ribosomal RNA
Source: RNAcentral